Molecule: unclassified non-coding RNA, 294 nt
Filed under: uncultured fungus
Lineage: Eukaryota; Fungi
Description: partial contains small subunit ribosomal RNA, internal transcribed spacer 1, and 5.8S ribosomal RNA
Rfam family: Eukaryotic small subunit ribosomal RNA (bases 1-73)
Source: RNAcentral
GCAAACUUGGUCAUUUAGAGGAAGUAAAAGUCGUAACAAGGUUUCCGUAGGUGAACCUGCGGAAGGAUCAUUACCGAGUGCGGGCCCUCUGGGUCCAACCUCCCACCCGUGUUUAUUGUACCUCGUUGCUUCGGCGGGCCCGCCAUUCUGGCCGCCGGGGGGCUUGCCCCCGGGCCCGCGCCCGCCGAAGACACCCUCGAACUCUGUCUGAAGAUUGUAGUCUGAGUGGAAUUAUAAAUUAUUAAAACUUUCAACAACGGAUCUCUUGGUUCCGGCAUCGAUGAAGAACGCAGC